UGGGGAAUCUUGCGCAAUGGGCGAAAGCCUGACGCAGCCAUGCCGCGUGGAUGAUGAAGGUCUUAGGAUUGUAAAAUCCUUUCACCGGUGAAGAUAAUGACUGUAGCCGGAGAAGAAGCCCCGGCUAACUUCGUGCCAGCAGCCGCGGUAAUACGAAGGGGGCUAGCGUUGCUCGGAAUUACUGGGCGUAAAGGGAGCGUAGGCGGACAUUUAAGUCAGGGGUGAAAUCCCGAGGCUCAACCUCGGAACUGCCUUUGAUACUGGGUGUCUUGAGUGUGAGAGAGGUGAGUGGAACUCCGAGUGUAGAGGUGAAAUUCGUAGAUAUUCGGAAGAACACCAGUGGCGAAGGCGACUCGCUGGCUCAUUACUGACGCUGAGGCUCGAAAGCGUGGGGAGCAAACAGGAUUAGAUACCCUGGUAGUCCACGCCGUAAACGAUGAUUGCUAGUUGUCGGGGAGCUUGCUCUUCGGUGACGCAGCUAACGCAUUAAGCAAUCCGCCUGGGGGAGUACGGUCGCAAGAUUAAAACUCAAAGGAAUUGACGGGGUCAUAGCUGUUUCCU
This 561-nucleotide ribosomal RNA is filed under the name uncultured bacterium. Its description in RNAcentral is "partial 16S ribosomal RNA". It matches the Rfam family "Bacterial small subunit ribosomal RNA", at positions 355 to 1375 of the family's 1533-position model. The record is from RNAcentral.